GCCCAUAAAGCUUCCAGGAUCUUCAUCUACUUCCUCCAUGGGCCAACUGAUCAGCCAGCUAGCAGGAAAUAGAUUGUUGGUUUCCUGUUUUCAUUAUUAGAAGGAAAUGAAUCAAUCUGGUCCCUGCAGACCAGUUCGUUACCUGCUAACAUCAGCCACAAACAAGCAAUGCACAGUGCGAUACUCUUACCAAUCUCUCUAUUUUUCCUUUUUUGUUUUUUUAUUUUUUUGAUUAUGUUUACAUUACUAUCCUGCAGAUAUGCUUCUAUGGAUUAUUAUGCAUCUUUAGAUUUAAUCAGAAAAAAAUCUAAUCUGUACUGUGUUAUGAAAUAAAUCUUUUCACUGGUGCUGCUGAAAAUACAUUUUUAAAGAGCACAACAGACAAAACAAUAAAAGAAAAAAAAAGAUAUCUCAACCAUCCAGGACUUAGAUGCUGCAAGUUCACAAAAAAAAUGGGAUUUGCUUUGCCUUCAUCUGAAGUAUACUCUAAGCUGCACACCCUUGCUUGCUGCCAUAAAGUGGGUCAAUGAGUCACAAGCAGAGUUGGAUGGAAACUAACCAAAGAGAGAAGCAACCUAGAACUAAGGAGAAACUUCCUGACAGUUAGAACAAUUAACCAGUGGAACAACCUCCUCCAGAAGCGGUGAAUGCUCCAAUACUGGAAGUUUUUAAGAAGAGACUGGACAGCCAUUUGUCAAUGAUAUAGUGGUGUCAAAUUUGUCAAACGGGCCAGUUUCAUCAUACCGAAGCAGCGCCCACCCCAUUGCCGGCAAUACAAAAAGAGUUGUAAUACGUUGCGACACGUCACGUGACAUGGCGAGUUUGACACCCGUGCUUUAUAAUGUCUAUUAGUCUUGAAAGAUGACAAAUAGAGUGAUUAUAUUGAUUCUUGAUUCUAAAUGUUGAUGCAAUAUAAAAUGUGAUUUGCCCAGGGUCAUAACAUCUCAUGUUGAAGCAUAUAUGGACUUUCUGCAGAAGUGAAAAAAAUUGAGGGAAGAAAACAUUUUGACUAAUGUGGUUAAAAGGGAGUUUUUCACAUUUCUGAAUUACUAACAGGUUUUAUUUAAGGCAUCAAAUGUUUUUUUCUCCACUGAAAUGGUUUAUUUUAAAAGUUUGAUAACAUUUUAAAGAAGGAUUCUGCAUUUUCCUGUUCAUUUAUCCAUUUGUUAAAAACAUCUCAAAACUAGUUCAAACAAGAGGUGGAUAGAAGGGAAGACAUGUACACAGUAGAAUUGUUUCCCAUGCCUAAAGUGAUUUAUCAAUAUCUCAGCUACUGACAAGAAUCCUCCUAUCAAGCUUUCAAUAUUCAUAGUUUAUAUUUCUUAAGCAGGAGAUACAUUUGAAAUUGGGAUGUUUUGGGCAUUACCUCAACAUCACUGUGGGGGAGAUGAUUUGUACAUUCCCCAAAUGAUAGACUGCUGAGGUUUUCCCACCAUUCUGGAGAUGUCCAGAAUACUCCCUAUCGCUUCAGCUUGUACUUCCCAUUUUAACUGGGCAACACAGCACAUUUGCAAACAAUUCAUUCAGUUUUAGCCACCUUCAUUUUCUAUUUUCUAAGAAAGCCCAUGGGGUUUUUUGCAGUAUGUUCAGUUCCUAUAUCAUGUUUUAAAUUAAAAGAAUCUAGAAAACUAAAAACGAAGGCAGCAGGGGCCAGAACCUAGCAGAAUCAAGGAUAGCAUUCAUAGAUAUUGUACUCAUUAUACUAAGAUUCCCUAUAUCUGACAUAGAGUAAUAGGGAAGGAAAGCAAAGAAGAAGAUAAGGGAUAGUAAACAGUCCCUGGAUUCCACCUUUGAUGUUCUAAAGCUGGAAGCAAAGCCAUCUAUUGAAUUUUAUGGCUAAAUAUUGGUUCAAAUAGUGCAGCCUUAUCAUGUUUCUUCAGAAGGCAGGUCUUCAUGAGUUCAACUGAAUUUACAUUCAGAAAAAUGUGAUUGGAAUUGUUCUUAUUAAAUAGUAACAUGAACGUUUCAUUUUAGUUUCUGGUAGAUCAGAUCCCACAAUCCAAAAGGCCACCUAAAAAAGUAAUACUUCAAGCUUCCUAGAAUUGACCAGAAGAGCAAAUAACAUAUUAAGGAAAGGGGAAAGAGGGAUGUCUAGAAAGGCUGUCAUGGCAUCAAAACCACACUGAGCAAAUAGAAAUAAUUUUUCCCCUGAACUGUAUUCUUUACAAUAUAUUUUUGUUAGAUUGAGAAUGUUUAUAAUAUAGCAGCUAUGCCUCUCCAGGGAAUGUUAAUAUUCAGCUGAAGAAGUUUUCUGCAAAACACAAACUUUGCUCACUCUUUUUCCCUAUAUUUUUCUUUUCUAUUAAUCCAUGUGAUUAUUUUAUUCAUUUUCCAUUCUUAAUCAUAUUAAACCUUUGAAGAUACGGUAAA
Molecule: long non-coding RNA, 2370 nt
Organism: Crotalus tigris (Tiger rattlesnake)
Lineage: Eukaryota; Metazoa; Chordata; Lepidosauria; Squamata; Viperidae
Exons: 4
Source: RefSeq, a predicted model, not a curated record